This 490-nucleotide ribosomal RNA is filed under the name uncultured bacterium. RNAcentral describes it as "partial 16S ribosomal RNA". It matches the Rfam family "Bacterial small subunit ribosomal RNA", at positions 29 to 507 of the family's 1533-position model. The record is from RNAcentral.
AUUGAACGCUGGCGGCAGGCCUAACACAUGCAAGUCGAACGGUAACAGGAAGCAGCUUGCUGCUUUGCUGACGAGUGGCGGACGGGUGAGUCAUGUCUGGGCAACUGCCCGCUGGAGGGGGAUAACUACUGGCAACGGUAGCUAAUACCGCAUAACGUCGCAAGCCCAAAGAGGGGGACCUUAGGGCCUCUUGCCAUCGGAUGUGCCCAGAUGGGAUUAGCUAGUAGGUGGGGUAACGGCUCACCUAGGCGACGAUCCCUAGCUGGUCUGAGAGGAUGACCAGCCACACGGGAACUGAGACACGGCCCAGACUCCUACGGGAGGCAGCAGUGGGGAAUAUUGCACAAUGGGCGCAAGCCGGAUGCAGCAAUGCCGCGUGUAGGAAGAAGGCCUUCGGGUUGUAAAGUACUGUCAGCGGGGAGGAAGGGAGUAAAGUUAAUACCUGUGCUCAUUGACGUUACCCGCAGAAGAAGCACCGGCUAACUCCGUG